Molecule: ribosomal RNA, 477 nt
Filed under: uncultured bacterium
Lineage: Bacteria
Description: partial 16S ribosomal RNA
Rfam family: Bacterial small subunit ribosomal RNA
Source: RNAcentral
GAUUAACGCUGGCGGCGUGCAUAACACAUGCAAGUCGAACGAUGAAACUUAAAUGAUUUCUUCGGAAUGAACUUAAGUGGAUUAGUGGCGGACGGGUGAGUAACGCGUGAGUAACCUGCCUUACACAAGGGGAUAGCCGUUGGAAACGACGAAUAAUACCCUAUGAAACUAUCACUUCGCAUGAAGCGAUAGUAAAAGUGUUAGCGGUGUAAGAUGGACUUGCGUCUGAUUAGCUAGUUGGUGAGAAAAAAGCCCACCAAGGCAACGAUCAGUAGCCGGCUUGAGAGAGUGUACGGCCACAUUGGGACUGAGACACGGCCCAGACUCCUACGGGAGGCAGCAGUGGGGAAUUUUGCACAAUGGGGGAAACCCUGAUGCAGCGACGCCGCGUGAUUUAGAAGGCCUUCGGGUUGUAAAAAUCUUUUGUAUAGGAAGAAAAUGACAGUACUAUACGAAUAAGGUCCGGCUAAUUACGUG